Molecule: ribosomal RNA, 392 nt
Filed under: uncultured bacterium
Lineage: Bacteria
Description: bacterial SSU rRNA
Rfam family: Bacterial small subunit ribosomal RNA
Source: RNAcentral
UUCGGGAGUUAACUUAGUGGCGAACGGGUGAGUAACGCGUGAGGAACCUGCCUUUCAGUGGGGGACAACAGUUGGAAACGACUGCUAAUACCGCAUGGAUUUCUUAUCAAAGCUCCGGCGGUAUGAGAUGGACCCGCGUCUGAUUAGCUAGUUGGUAAGGUAACGGCUUACCAAGGCGACGAUGCGUAGCCGACCUGAGAGGGUGAUCGGCCACAUUGGGACUGAGACACGGCCCAGACUCCUACGGGAGGCAGCAGUGGGGAAUAUUGCACAAUGGGGGAAACCCUGAUGCAGCAACGCCGCGUGAGUGAUGACGGUCUUCGGAUUGUAAAGCUCUGUCUUUAGGGACGAUAAUGACGGUACCUAAGGAGGAAGCCACGGCUAACUACGUG